UACGGAGGGUGCAAGCGUUAAUCGGAAUUACUGGGCGUAAAGCGCACGUAGGCGGCUUUGCAAGUCCCAUGUGAAAUCCCACGGCUCAACCGUGGAAGUGCAUGGGAAACUGCAGAGCUUGAGUACUUAAGAGGAUCGCGGAAUUCCCGGUGUAGAGGUGAAAUUCGUAGAUAUCGGGAGGAACACCAGUGGCGAAGGCGGCGAUCUGGGAAGAUACUGACGCUGAGGUGCGAAAGCGUGGGGAGCAAACAGG
RNAcentral lists this ribosomal RNA (253 nucleotides) under uncultured bacterium. Its description in RNAcentral is "partial 16S ribosomal RNA". It matches the Rfam family "Bacterial small subunit ribosomal RNA", at positions 524 to 776 of the family's 1533-position model. The record is from RNAcentral.